This is a non-coding RNA of Phacochoerus africanus (Common warthog), 552 nucleotides long. NCBI's taxonomy places the organism in Eukaryota, Metazoa, Chordata, Mammalia, Artiodactyla, Suidae. The record is from the annotation of a RefSeq genome assembly.
ACAGCAACACAGGAUCCGAGCCUGUCUGCAGCUCUGGGACAGAAGGUCACCAUUUCCUGCCCUGGAGGCAGCGGUGAUAUUGGAGGUUACAGCCAGAUGUCCUGGCAUCAACGCCUCCAGUGCAUUAGGUCAUCCCCUCCAUCCUUCAGUUCCAAGAGUGUGGUUUUUGUCUUUUCAGGUUCCUGGGCCCAGUCUGCCCUGACUCAGCCCCCCUCGGUGUCCAGGAAUCUGAAGGAUAUGGAGACCAUCUCCCGUGCUGGAACCAGCAGUGACAUUGGGGGUUAUGUCUCCUGGUACCAACAGCACCCGGGCUUGGCCCCCAAACUCCUGAUUUAUCAUGUCAACACACGGGCCUCAGGGAUCCCUGAUGGCUUCUCUGGCUCUAAGUCUGGCAACACGGCCUCUCUGACCAUCUCUGGGCUCCAGGCUGAGGACAAGGCUGACUAUUACUGUAGCUCACCUAGAAGUGGUGGUACUUUGUACAGUGGUCCAAGUUCAUGGGGAAGUGAGACCAAAACCUGCCCUGAGCUAACAGGCCUCCUGCUCCUCUGA